GAUGAAGAACGCAGCGAAAUGCGAUAAGUAAUGUGAAUUGCAGAAUUCAGUGAAUCAUCGAAUCUUUGAACGCACCUUGCGCUCCUUGGUAUUCCGAGGAGCAUGCCUGUUUGAGUGUCAUUAAAUUCUCAACCUUAUUGGCUUUUGCUGAUAAUGGCUUGGACUUGGGGGUCUUUUUGCUGGCUUUCAUUAGUCUGCUCCCCUUAAAUGUAUUAGCCGGUGCCCCGCAGUGGAACCGUCUAUUGGUGUGAUAAUUAUCUACGCCGUGGACGUCUGCUAUAAUGGGUUUGCGCUGCUUCUAACCGUCUCUCGGGACAACACAAAUGACAAUUUGACCUCAAAUCAGGUAGGACUACCCGCUGAACUUAAGCAUAUCAAUAAGCGGAGG
RNAcentral lists this unclassified non-coding RNA (388 nucleotides) under soil metagenome. RNAcentral's name for it is "partial contains 5.8S ribosomal RNA, internal transcribed spacer 2, and large subunit ribosomal RNA". The stretch from base 1 to 120 matches the Rfam family "5.8S ribosomal RNA", at positions 35 to 154 of the family's 154-position model. The record is from RNAcentral.